Molecule: RNA transcript, 2039 nt
Organism: Arachis duranensis
Lineage: Eukaryota; Viridiplantae; Streptophyta; Magnoliopsida; Fabales; Fabaceae
Exons: 7
Source: RefSeq, a predicted model, not a curated record
CCCAACAACUACAUUGGUCUCUUCCCAAACGUAUCCAAAACAAUGAAUACAAGAAAACAGCCCAUUACAAUUGUAAAAGACAGGAGAUGCUUUUCACCGUUGAUCUCUGGUUUCUUGAACACUUUGGUUCAAUAAUACACCGCACGCAAUAUUCCCUGAAGCUUGCACGGUAAAGUUUGACCCCAAUGGCAGCAACAAGAGUUUCCAACACAGAUCUACAACGUGUGGCAAGCAAUCCCUUCCAUACACCUUUUCGAUUACUCUCAUUUCUAGAGGAAUCGGCAGUUUCUGAUAUCUCAGAGAAGACACUGAUGGAGGUGGCGGUGGUUAUUUUCCCUAGCUGAUACGUCGGCUUUCCUGAGGCACAUAGAUCUUUGUUUGGGAUUUUCACGAGUUGAUGGAGGAGAACAGCCUUACUGAGACAUGCUGGUUCAACAUCUUGGCCAAUGAUCUCCUUCGCUGGCAAUUGGAUGGGGCCUUUUCGGGCGACUACUAUGAUUCCACCUCUCCGGACGGCGGAGCUUCAUCGGCGGUAUCCAUGGACAUUGUCUCUGACCAAAAUAGCAUGAAGCAGAUCAAUGAAAGGCUCUUUGCACUUAGGACAGCCGUUCCCAACGUAACCAAGAUGGAUAAGGCAUCAAUCAUAAAGGAUGGAACUCGUUAGAUAUAACACUUGCAUGAAAAAGAGAGAAGGAUCCAAGACGAGAUAAUGGAGGUUAAAUUUAAGAAGCUCAAUUCCAAUUAUUGCAGCAUUGGCAGCAGCAGGAGACUAUGAUUUUGAACAGAAUCUUCCCAUUGUUAUCAGAUCUAAGAAGAAGAGACCCGAUAACCUUUUCUUUGAUACCUCGACUUCUUCUUCCUCAAUAAAUAACACCAACUAUUUUCCUAUUGAACUGAUUGAUCUUUAUGCACAAUUGGGUUCUUCUUGGCAAGAAUGCAAGAACGAAAACUGAGGAUUCAUCUUCCACCAAAGCUUUAAUGUCAACUGUCAGACUUGUGAAAAGGUGAUAUUUUUGUUGUCCAAUGUGUCUGUUGAAAUCUCUAAAUAUUGAGUAGUUUGAAUCGUUCUAAAAUAAUAUGUUGCAUUGAGGAGGGAGUGCGUAUGGUAUUUUGAUAGCAACAAUCUUAAGGAAUUGUCUGUAGCUUUCUGAAUAUCAUAUUGAAUAUACAAGGCUUGAUUUAAUCUCCAAUCAUGGAACUUCUCUUCUUCCUUUCCUGAUUGCGACUUUUAGGUAAAUUUCAUGUCUCUUUCCUAUUUGAUUGUCAGUGUUUUAACCACAUGCUUUGGAAAUCCCUUCAUAUUAUCUAUCAUUUUGAAAUUAGAAAUUGAUUUGAAUUUUAUUUUAUUUAACGUGAUUUAUACGUUCACUUCUGCGUUUACUUAUACUAUUUUUCUUUUUUCCAAUUAAUGUUGGGCUUUUAUGCUAUUUAAAAUGGUCUUUCAAUUGUGUGUUCAUUAACUUUAUGCUAAAAGAUUUUUUUUUUUUUACUAUCUAUUUGCUUUCUCCCCUUUUUUUUCCCGGUUCUCACUGUGCAUAGUUUCUUUCUAUGAAAUGUUAAGCUAAAUGCUGAAACUCUCUCUUUUAUGGGAGCUGUGUGUAUACUGUAUUGGAUACAUAUAGUUCUUUUCAAGUUCUUUACUGGCAUUAUUUAUGGUUUGCACGCUUCAUCCAUCAGAUGUAACUUUUCUUACGUUCAUGAUAAUUAUUUACAAACUUUUAAACCGUCAGUACUGGGACUUUGGUGGAUCAAUGUCAGACCAGAACCGAGAAGUCACCAUUAAUUGACUGCAACUCCUUUUAUGAGACUCCAUUCUCUUCCUCAACCAUCACUGUGGCUCGGUCUUUCUCCAUCAAACAGCUGAAUGGCGAUUCAUGCAGCUGCUGGUGAUUCCAACAGAUGCCCUCCAUCUCCUUGCUAUAGGAAGACAAUGACAAGUUCAGAUCUGAGGACAAUUAGAUUGCACUUGUCGAUUGCUUUUGCUAAAUAUCUGAAACCAUCGAGACAUGGUUCUGUCUGGAAGAUAAUCGGUCCACCUU